UCUUCUUCCACUUUAAAAGUUACGACCUUGAGUAUCAUGACAUGUUCUUCCACUAACGAACAUGAGGUCUUAGUUGCAUGGAUAACCUCUAGGUAGUUUAUAAAUAUCUUCUCUAAUGUGUAACGUGUUUCUUGAUAGUUUCUUUCUCAAAAAAUAAUAUUCAGAAAAUAGUUUUAAUAACUACAAUGGAAUCAAGAGGAAAACGUAUGGUUAGAGAAGCUCUUAAAAGAUUGAAAAGUGAUUCUUGUGACAACAGGAACUCAAGCGAUCGAAAUAUUUCAAAUGGUGUCAGCCGGAUGUACAAAAUACGAUAAGGAUGUUACGAAAAUAAUGGAAAAACUAAUGAAAAGAGAAGUUCAACUGGAAUACAGUGGAUCUGGAAAGAAAAUUAAAGGUGUAGGGAAAAUAAGUUUUAAGGAAACUGAAACUUACAAAAUAAUGGAAAAAUUUUUGCUGGCAAAGUACAGGG
Long non-coding RNA from Diorhabda carinulata, 469 nucleotides. RefSeq lists it as uncharacterized. Lineage: Eukaryota; Metazoa; Arthropoda; Insecta; Coleoptera; Chrysomelidae. The transcript has 3 exons. The record is from RefSeq and is a predicted model, not a curated record.